RNAcentral lists this ribosomal RNA (253 nucleotides) under uncultured bacterium. Its description in RNAcentral is "partial 16S ribosomal RNA". It matches the Rfam family "Bacterial small subunit ribosomal RNA", at positions 524 to 776 of the family's 1533-position model. The record is from RNAcentral.
UACGUAGGGUGCAAGCGUUGUCCGGAAUUAUUGGGCGUAAAGAGCUCGUAGGCGGUUUGUCGCGUCUGCUGUGAAAUCCCGAGGCUCAACCUCGGGCUUGCAGUGGGCACGGGCAGACUAGAGUGCGGUAGGGGAGAUUGGAAUUCCUGGUGUAGCGGUGGAAUGCGCAGAUAUCAGGAGGAACACCGAUGGCGAAGGCAGAUCUCUGGGCCGUAACUGACGCUGAGGAGCGAAAGCGUGGGGAGCGAACAGG